RNAcentral lists this ribosomal RNA (497 nucleotides) under uncultured bacterium. RNAcentral's name for it is "partial 16S ribosomal RNA". It matches the Rfam family "Bacterial small subunit ribosomal RNA", at positions 28 to 507 of the family's 1533-position model. The record is from RNAcentral.
GAUGAACGCUGGCGGCGUGCCUAAUACAUGCAAGUCGAGCGAACAGACGAGGAGCUUGCUCCUCUGACGUUAGCGGCGGACGGGUGAGUAACACGUGGAUAACCUACCUAUAAGACUGGGAUAACUUCGGGAAACCGGAGCUAAUACCGGAUAAUAUAUUGAACCGCAUGGUUCAAUAGUGAAAGACGGUUUUGCUGUCACUUAUAGAUGGAUCCGCGCCGCAUUAGCUAGUUGGUAAGGUAACGGCUUACCAAGGCAACGAUGCGUAGCCGACCUGAGAGGGUGACCGGCCACACUGGAACUGAGACACGGUCCAGACUCCGACGGGAGGCAGCAGUAGGGAAUCUUCCGCAAUGGGCGAAAGCCUGACGGAGCAACGCCGCGUGAGUGAUGAAGGUCUUCGGAUCGUAAAACUCUGUUAUUAGGGAAGAACAAAUGUGUAAGUAACUAUGCACGUCUUGACGGUACCUAAUCAGAAAGCCACGGCUAACUACGUG